ACUGCAGCGUGAGCACUUCAAG
This 22-nucleotide microRNA is filed under the name Gadus morhua (Atlantic cod). Its description in RNAcentral is "gmo-miR-20a-3p". Its record names the gene gmo-miR-20a-3p. The record is from miRBase by way of RNAcentral. Lineage: Eukaryota; Metazoa; Chordata; Actinopteri; Gadiformes; Gadidae.